AUUGAACGCUGGCGGCAUGCUUUACACAUGCAAGUCGAACGGUAACAGACCGCAAGGUGCUGACGAGUGGCGAACGGGGGAGUAAUGCAUCGGAACGUGCCCAGACGUGGGUGUUAACUACGCGAAAGGUUGGCUAAUACAGCCUAAGAUCGCUGGCGGAAAGCGGGGGACCGUAGGGGAUCGCGGGAUUGUGCGCGCCUGUGUCAGCUGAUGUCGGAUUAGGUAGUUGGUGGGGUAAAGGCCCACCAAGCCAACGAUCCGUAGCUGGUCUGAGAGGACGACCAGCCACACUGGGACUGAGACACGGCCCAGACUCCUACGGGAGGCAGCAGUGGGGAAUUUUGGACAAAGGGCGCAAGCCUGAUCCAGCAAUGCCGCGUGCAGGAAGAAGGCCUUCGGGUUGUAAACUGCUUUUGUACGGAACGAAACGGCUCUGGUUAAUACCCGGGGCUAAUGACGGUACCGUAAGAAUAAGCACCGGCUAACUACGUG
This 492-nucleotide ribosomal RNA is filed under the name uncultured bacterium. RNAcentral's name for it is "partial 16S ribosomal RNA". It matches the Rfam family "Bacterial small subunit ribosomal RNA", at positions 29 to 507 of the family's 1533-position model. The record is from RNAcentral.